Non-coding RNA from Camellia sinensis, 1936 nucleotides. Lineage: Eukaryota; Viridiplantae; Streptophyta; Magnoliopsida; Ericales; Theaceae. The record is from RefSeq and is a predicted model, not a curated record.
CUUAUACGCACACCUCUCUCUUAUCUUACACGCAGACAUCUUUCUCUCUCUCUCUCUCUCUCAGCGACGAAGAAAACGGAGGAGAUAACUCUACGAAGAAGCUUCGUCUCUCGAAAGAUCAAUCAGCUGUUCAGAGCGAUUUUGAAGCGAUUUCGAAAUUCAGAUUGAUAUCAAUCGGCUGUUCAGAGCUUUUUCGAAGAUUCAGAUCGAUUUCGAGAUUCAGAGCGAUUUCGAUGCUCCGUCGCCACCGUCAUCUGCACUGGCGAGGUAGCGAGCUCCACCGUCUCUCUCUCUUUCUCUCUAGAUCUCAUACUGAUUGAUCCAGAUGAGGUUAGGGCCCGUGCCAAACAGGUUGUGCAAGAUAAGCGUUGUCUGAAGGAUUGGAAGACUGAAAGAUACAAAGAAAUUAUCAGAUCUGGGACUGUAAGUACAAAUUUUUGUAUUCUUCAUUUAUGAUUACUUGUUAGUUCAUCUAUGUGGGUGAUUAUUCUGGAUGAGUGAUUGUGAAGAAAAUGGAUUUGAGUUGAUGGGCAGGUGGAGCCCAGACCUGGAGUAUUGAGAUUGAUGGAUGAGGCCAAGGAUGCUGUAAGAUGAACAUUUUACCUUAUAAAUGCAAUUAUCACUUUAUCACGGUUCUUAAGUUUUUUGUUGAAUUUGCAUCUGUUAUCCACAUUUAAUUAGGUUAUAAGACUACUUAUUCUUUCCAAAGUUGUCAAAUUCCAUGUCCUUUUUCAUACAUGAAGAACCCUGCUUGUCUAUGCUUCCCUCUGUUAUCAUAUUUACCUUUCGGCUGAUGGUUAUAGGGUAAAAAAUUAGCAGUCUGCUCUGUUGCAACUAAAAGUUCUAUUGUGCUCUGCCUUGAGAACCUUAUUGGAAUUGUAAGUCCUUCUCAGGAAUUUUUUAUUUUUUUUUUAAUUAUAUGAGAUAGGGUAACCUAUUUAAUGUUGUCUUCAUGUUUUAGGAGCACUUCAAAAAUCUUGAUUGCUUCCUUGGAAGUUGAAUCAAUUGAGUUGGCCAAUCUGUAUUUUUCAGAAUGCUCUAGUCAAUUUGUAGGGUUAUGCAAGUAGUUGAUCUCUUUUCAUCCAUCAGUGUCCUUUUGAUUUCUAAUUAUUCUUUACUUGUUAUUUGAGAUUUUGUCACUUAUAAUUCAGAUCUCCUUAUGCUCAUAAUUUAUUAUCAUUCUUGAUUAAGCUUUCAUUUCCAUAUAUAUUAAACAUAAAUUUGCAUUUAUCUAAAAAUUCAUUUCACAUGCAAAUUAGGAUAGAAUUUGGAUCUUUGAGUUCCAUUCUAAUGACAAGGACACAUGCUAUGCCCUUUACAAAUGAACAUGCUUGACAAAUCUCUGAUGUUCUUCGUUAGGCACAUGCAAAAGAAGGAAAACAUAUCAUAUGUGAACCAUAGUUUAUUAUAUAGUUCAGAUUUACUAACCACAAAAUAUAUUUUGAACCAUAGUUUAUUAUAUAUAAAUAUAUAGUUUAUUUUUUGCCAAGCAAUAGAAAAAUCUCUAAUCCCUUGAUCCCAUGUUUUGAACCAUCACCCAUUAUCAACUGAGGUCUUUUCUUUUUAGUCCAUCCCCGGGCCACGAAACUGAUAGAUCACUGGUAAUGUUGCAGCUAGGUUGAAGGCACGUAUUUUAAGCCGGAUCUGGAAUGAGACAUGGUUGGCAAGCCUUUUCUACAAACCUUGCAACUGAGUUUUUUGUCAAGCAAUCCCCAACAAACCAUUCUCCCCUGUUGGCGACAAUGUGGGUCUUCUUCUACGCGGCUUAAAAUGGGAAGAUAUUCAGCGAGGACAGGUGAUUGCCAAGCCUGGGUCAGUGAAAACUUACAAGAGGUUUGAGGCAGAAAUAUAUGUCCUCACAAAGGAUGAAGGUGGUCGCCAUACUGCCUUUUUCUCAAACUAUAGGCCUCAGUUUUACAUGAGGACUGCAGAUAUC